This 70-nucleotide transfer RNA is filed under the name Lichenifustis flavocetrariae. RNAcentral describes it as "tRNA-OTHER". The record is from RNAcentral. Lineage: Bacteria; Pseudomonadati; Pseudomonadota; Alphaproteobacteria; Hyphomicrobiales; Lichenihabitantaceae.
GUGUUUCCAAGCGGUGUUGAAGCGACUGAAAAUCGCAGUGUCGGUGGUUCGAUUCCGCCCCUGGGCACCA